This 918-nucleotide ribosomal RNA is filed under the name marine metagenome. Its description in RNAcentral is "bacterial SSU rRNA". It matches the Rfam family "Bacterial small subunit ribosomal RNA", at positions 590 to 1520 of the family's 1533-position model. The record is from RNAcentral.
AGUGGUGAAUCCCAGAGCUUAACUCUGGAACUGCCAUUAAAACUUUUCAGCUAGAGUAUGAUAGAGGAAAGCAGAAUUUCUAGUGUAGAGGUGAAAUUCGUAGAUAUUAGAAAGAAUACCAAUUGCGAAGGCAGCUUUCUGGAUCAUUACUGACACUGAGGAACGAAAGCAUGGGUAGCGAAGAGGAUUAGAUACCCUCGUAGUCCAUGCCGUAAACGAUGUGUGUUAGACGUUGGAAAUUUAUUUUCAGUGUCGCAGCGAAAGCGAUAAACACACCGCCUGGGGAGUACGACCGCAAGGUUAAAACUCAAAUGAAUUGACGGGGACCCGCACAAGUAGUGGAGCAUGUGGUUUAAUUCGAAGAUACGCGCAGAACCUUACCAACACUUGACAUGUUCGUCGCGACUCUAAGAGAUUAGAGUUUUCGGUUCGGCCGGACGAAACACAGGUGCUGCAUGGCUGUCGUCAGCUCGUGUCGUGAGAUGUUGGGUUAAGUCCCGCAACGAGCGCAACCCUCACUUUUAGUUGCCAUCAUUAAGUUGGGCACUCUGAAAGAACUGCCAGUGAUAAGCUGGAGGAAGGUGGGGAUGACGUCAAGUCCUCAUGGCCCUUACGUGUUGGGCUACACACGUGCUACAAUGGUAUCUACAACAGGAAGCAAGACUGCGAGGUCAAGCAAAUCCUUAAAAGAUACCUCAGUUCGGAUUGCACUCUGCAACUCGAGUGCAUGAAGCUGGAAUUACUAGUAAUCGUGGAUCAGCGUGCCACGGUGAAUGCGUUCCCGGGUCUUGUACACACCGCCCGUCACACCAUGGGAGUUGGUUCUACCUUAAGGCAAGGUUUAAAACCCUUGACCACGGUAUAGUCAGCGACUGGGGUGAAGUCGUAACAAGGUAGCCGUAGGGGAACCUGCGGCUG